RNAcentral lists this long non-coding RNA (233 nucleotides) under Elaeis guineensis (African oil palm). Its description in RNAcentral is "long non-coding RNA (EGUI_LNC046898)". Lineage: Eukaryota; Viridiplantae; Streptophyta; Magnoliopsida; Arecales; Arecaceae. The record is from RNAcentral.
GUCAACAUGUUGGUCACUACUGAGAGAAUCUUAAAAAGUUCAAAAGAUACUAUUCUCACUGUAGAGCAGUCUUCUUCAUCCAAGAGAAAGUCUGAUUGAAAGAAGAAGAGUAAACCUACAAAGAAGCAGAAAAAGAACAGCAAGCCAAAAGGCUGCAGCAAAGAAAAAGUGUUUCCACUAUGAUGUUGAUGGCCAUUGGAGGAGGAACUAUUCACUUUACCUGGAGAGCCUGA